GGGCCUGCUCGGUGAUUAAUAUUUAACAGCUGCGGUAUUAUAACUGUACUAAGGUAGCAUAAUAAUUUGCCUUAUAAAUUGAGGCUAGAAUGAAUGGUUUGACGAAAAUUAUACUGUCUCUGUCUUAUUUAUUAGAAGUUAAUUUUUAUAGUGAGAAAGCUUGGAUAAUUUAAAGGGACGAAAAGACCCUAUUGAGCUUUAUAUUAUACUUUAAAAUUAUUUAUUGUUUUUAUUUAAAUAUAAUUUUGGUUGGGGUGAUCAAGGAAUAAAUAAUUAAUUUUAACUUCCUUAAUUUGUUUAUAGUUAUAUGAAUAAACCAAAUUUUUUGCUUAGAAGAUAAGUUACCAUAGGGAUAACAGCGUAAUUUUUUUUGAAAGUUCAUAUUG
Molecule: ribosomal RNA, 386 nt
Filed under: Amphioctopus aegina
Lineage: Eukaryota; Metazoa; Mollusca; Cephalopoda; Octopoda; Octopodidae
Description: partial 16S ribosomal RNA
Rfam family: Bacterial large subunit ribosomal RNA (bases 1-120)
Source: RNAcentral